Taeniopygia guttata (zebra finch) is the source of this 16735-nucleotide non-coding RNA. The record is from RefSeq and is a predicted model, not a curated record. NCBI's taxonomy places the organism in Eukaryota, Metazoa, Chordata, Aves, Passeriformes, Estrildidae.
CUUUUACUUCUCAUUAUUCUGCUCUGAUUUUGUUCAUAGAAACUUCAUAUCUCUAAGUUGAGCCUGUUUUGCCUCUGAUGGCAUUUGGUGAGUGGUCUCUCCCAGUUAUCUCAACCCAUGCACCCUCCAUUAAAUUUUAUCUCCCCUGCCCAGCUGCAGAGGGGAGUGACUGAGCAGCUUUGCUGGGGGCCUGGCAUCUGCCCAGGUUAAUCCACUACACUUCAGUGACCCCACAAUUCUUCAUUGUUUUGUCAUAAGUUUAUUAAAAGUGGGGGCAAAAAACAUCAGAGAUCAGCAUCACUGAAGAAAAGUAAUUAUGACUCAAAAUAAGCAAAGCUGAUGAUUCUUUAUAUCUUUCUGUGUUGUCAUUGCAACAGGUAUAUAAAUAAUCUCUCAGGUACAACUGUAUCAGGCAAAUCCUAACUACUCUAACAGCUCUGUGGGACACACAGAGUGAUUAGUCCUGCCUGACAGUUAUGCUCUCAGGGUUCUCUUCUUGUUUCUAAGACAAAAUUAUUGUGAUUUUUGCCUAGACAUAACAAACUCAAGAAAUGGCCUUACUGAAGCUUAGAUCUGCCCCCUCCCAACAGAAAUGCAGAAGGCUGUUCUUGGUCUGCUGAAUCUCUGUCCAUAGCAUGGGAGAUAAAAAGUACCUACACCUCUGUGGAACGCUGCCACCCUGUAAUAUCAAGGUGUGUCAUAGGCUGUAAGUGAGGACUUGAAAAUCUCCAUGGACAGAGAGAAAACUUUCUGGAUCCUGGUUAGACAGACACUUUUGCUUAUGAAGGUCUGUAUAUUAGUGAGUCACCCAGGCUCUACUUUCUCCACUUUGUUCCCUCCCUCCCACUGUGCAUCCUGAGGGAUGUGAAGCAAGACAUUUAUGCCAUGCUUCUGUAGAGAUGACAAAUAGUUUUCCAUGCUUUCCUUUUGGCAGAAACCAAAGGUCUUGGAAAUUCAAAACCUAUGGGCAGAGACCAAUUGGUGGUGCUUUUACCUAGACAAGACUUACAUAAGCAUUAGUAGAUUUGUACCAGUGUUAGGAAACACUCAGGGAUCCAAAUUCAUCUUUUAGUCUCACCAGUAUUUUAAGCAGCUCAAAACAGGCUAGCAAAGUAAGUAUAGCAUUGUGUUCAUGUUUUGGUCAGGAAGUUUUCAGGUAGUCCAGAAACUUUCUUUUUAUUUUGUUUUUCCAGCAAAGAAACAUCUCUUUUGAUCCUUAUUUCUAGUAAUGUCUAGUAUAGGUUCUCACAACUCCUUUUUCCUGUCUUAAUAUGAGUGCUGUGAGAAGCCUAUGAUUGCAUAGCAUGCAGCUAAUGUGUCUCAAAAACAAUGAUAUCCAAGGUGAGCAAUUCAAUUUCAUAUCAGAAUUCAACAAUCCUCAUCUUCAUUGACAAAGUCACUGCCAGAGUCAUCAUGAGCUUUCGGCUUGAGGGACUUCUCUAUCAUCCAGAAAAUUCCAUGCUCUAAGCAAGAUAAUGCUUCUGGGACAGGUUCUUGAGAUGAGCAGGGAAUCUUCAGUUGAGUAUCCCUGUAGAAGAGGGAGGAGUGGGCUGAACAUGAGCCUUACUGUGAAGUGUAUAGCAAGCACAUUCUUCUUUAUGAUCAGAGAUUGGAGUUAAAACCAAUAUCAUGGCAAAGGGGUUGGAAAUACAUCAUCUCUAGGGCUGCUUCCAACCCAAACCAUUCUGUGGUUAUAACACGUACAAAAAAACCGUCCAAAAAAAAAAACCAAAACAAAACCACCAACAACACAAUUAAAAAACAAACAAAAAAUCCAAGAAAAGGACACCAAACCUUCUUUUAUGUAUGUUCAUACCCUGCAGUAGGCAAGGAAACAGGCCAGGCAAGCAGGAAGCAGAUCUUGCGAUCAAGUUGCUGUCCCCAGGCUUUUCUUGUCCAUUUUUUAAUUAUUUCUGGACCUUGCUAUCUUGUUUGUAAAAUUACGGCUUGAAAUAUUGCUUUUGUCUUUUAUUCACAGGAAAUUAAAUUAUGUCAAUGAAUGCUUGUUAGGGACUGGGAUAACAUAAUGACGGGAAAAAUACUACUAGCCUUUGAAUCUACAGUCUACUCAGAUAAAAUCAAACUUAAUGUGUGAAUAUAAAAUAUUGUUUUCUAAAAUUACAAAUGUUGGACAAGUAAAAAAUUCAAGAUAUGUUUAAUUAAACCCCUUGGAGCACCUUGGCUGAAUGACACCAUAGAAUUGUUCAUUCUCAUAUUUCUGUACUAGAUUAAGGAGUAGCAGCUUUCCAAUUUUUCUCAUUCAGCUUGUCUUUCUCAAGAAGGUAUGUUCAAUGCUUUGAUACUGUUUCUUUCAUAAAUAAGACAAUUGUUUCUAAAAAUGGCACAAGUCCAGAGCAUAUGUUCCACUUGUGUUUGUCUGAAAGGUUACCACAAUGGUGUCCCACUGUGCUGACAAAUGUGACCAAGCCAUUGCUGCCAGUAUCAGUCCAUGACUUGGUUAAACCUCCAGUAAUAACUGCUGCUGAAAAAUGCAGAGCUGAAGAAACCACAUUCUAAAGCUACUUUUCACAAAACAAGUCAUUAGCUCGAGUUUUAGAUGUAAUAGUAUUUCAAGUCUGGGAAUAUGUUCAGCUCCUUAUAUUUUGUCUUGGAAAACCAUGUUGCAAGAAAUUACUUAGUCUAGCUGAGAUUUCACGAAGCAGUUCUAUUAUAUUUUAUGCCGUGGAAAAUCAUGUUGAAGGAAAAACAUAUUCAGCAGGAAAGAGGCUGUGCCCUUUCCUAAUGGUUGUUUCCCUCAGGAAAGAGGCUGUUGACUGAGGACUUGCCAUUCCACAGCUCUACAAGAACUUUGGGAUUGUGGUUCUAAUUGCUGUUAAUUAGUGGGAGACACUCCUCUCUGUGAAAGCAAGUCCUGCUGGCAGCAGGAAAAAUUCAGCUAAUUCCUUUUUUGCUCUUUACUUCUUCAAAGUUUUUGUAGUUAUGUGAAUGACUGCAAUUACUAUUUUGAAAUCAGUAAGCACCAAAGAUUUCAGGUUUCAUAUAGACCACUGUUAUUAAAAAAAAAAAAAUAAAAAAAAUAAAAUAAAAUAAAAAAGACUGUAAUAAGUAUAGUGGUGUGAAAUGAAACCUGUUGUGUUACUACUGGAAAAUCUGUUACGAUUAUCAAGCAACUAGAAUGUCUGGGGAUUAUUCUCAAUUAAUCUGACAUACAUAACAUUUGACAUACACAACAUUUGACAUACAUGGCAUUCAUUCCCUUUGCUGUAUAUGUAGCUAUUUCCACAGUAGCCAAUAAAAUUAAGCUGUCCAUACACCUGCAGGCUCUGCUCUCAUAUGCAGUUUAAUUUGCCAAUAAGAAUAAUGCAGUUUCCUGAGGAUGAAUGACUCAGGGCUUGCUGGGUUAAGGUGCGUAGGGACAAAAAUCACACCCUUCUGGUCAUUACUUGCUGGGAUCAGCAUGUUCUGAUUAUUACUGUGUAAUUAGUUAAUAAGGCCCCUUUCAAAGUGGAAGAGAACUGCUUUCUCUGAGCACAAUGUGCAUUGCAUCUAUCAUGGGUUUAUUCAUUAUGGGUGAAUCUGAUUCCCAUUUAAGAAGAUGUAUUCUGGGAAUGUAAUAUCUCUAUUGUAAUAUUUCUGUUGUUUCCAACACAUCAAAAAUAAAAUAUGGUGACAAUUAUCAAUUACUUUAAUCUGAAGCAAAUUUUUAAGAAGCAACUUACAUUGGGCCCAGUGUUUUGGCUUAAACAUAAAAAAGAAGAGGUGAAGGAGGGAAUUGAUAUUUCAGAGUAAGUGAUUUGCAUGUGGGGCUUGGAGAAGUUGACACAUAUUUGGAACAAUGUAUUUUCACUUUCUGUUGUCCAAAAAUUGAGAUCUAUUUCAUUUAGUGUCUACUAUUCAUUCCUAUUUACUAUUAAAUGUUUUUUUGAAAUAAUUGCUUUGAUGAGUAGGUAGUCCUAAAAAGCAAUUUUCUUGAGUUGUUUUAAUAGAAUGCAUAUGUUGAAUGGCAUUUAAGUCUAAGUUGCCAGGCCAAGGAGUUUGCAGCUCCAAGCACCUUAUCACUGCUUUUCUUGUCAGACCAUAGAGUAAAUAAAUGAAAAAUAGAGUAAAUUAAUAGAGUAAAUAAAUGAAUAAUAGAGUAAAUUAAUAGAGUAAAUGAACAGAAUACUCACAAAUAUUGUAUUUAUGAAUACAAUGAAAUCCCAUUGUGAUCAGAUUAAAUGAUUGUACAAUCUUAAAUGAAUAUUCACACACAGGCUAGUGGUGGUGGUUAUUUUUGGUUGUUUGUUUUGUUUUACUGGUGUUUCUUCUCCUCAGUAGUACUUGGCCCAGAUUAACUGAUCAACUUCCCAAAUUAGAAAAUAAAUCUUACUUAUUACUCUGAAAACAUUUGAUGAAUUUAUAUCCUCUCCAGCCAAAAUUGCCUCUAUCCAUAACUAGUAGCAGUCUUUUACAAGAUACUAAGACCAACAAUUUUGAGUAUGCUGAAAUGGAAAUGAUUACUUCCUUACUAAUAUUGCCUGACCAAUGGAGCUGUUACAGGUUUGUAUAAGCAAUGAACACAAUAUUUCUCUCCUAAUACUAUCAGAUCAACAGUAGUCUAUUUUAAAUUAUAAAUCUCUGAAAUUAAUGGGAGCAUCUUUUUGGCUUUUUUAUGGAAUAACAAAACCAGAAGAAGAGGGCGAGUAGGUAGAGUGAACCUGGCAAGGGGAGCCUGACAGACAGGGAUGCUUCUGUCUGGAGAAGGGAGGGCACCUGAGACUCCCCUUCUGCCUCUGGGCAGGUCACUGAGAAGAUGAAGCCAUGCUUUCUGCAACACUGCAAAGCAGCAGGAUGCAAGAGUGUGUGUCUAAGCUGAAACAAGAGGAGUCCACAUUAUAUACAAUGGGAAACCUUUUUCCCUAUAGGGACAAUCCAGUGUAGAGCAGGUUGCUAAGAGAGGCAGUGGGGUCUGUGUUCUUGGAACUUUCAGAACUGGUCUGGUGAAAGCCCCAGGCCACAUGAUCUGGCCUCCUUGCUGCUGCUGUUUUGAGCAGAUGGCUGCACUGGUACUGUCAUCUCUUCCAGGCUGGGUUACAAAAGCCCUUUAGAAAAGAGACCAGGGACACCUCUGUGCCAUGACUAUUUGCUUAAAAGCAUGCAGUCUCUUCUAAUCCUAUCCAUGUAAGGUUCUUUUCUGUUUAUUCACUCUGUUUUUUAAAUCAGUUUAUACUUUGAAAAACCUUGCUAGCCCAUUUUCCACUCAAUGUCUGACUCAUGCUGUGACACACUCAUGUCAUACUUUCGGUAUCUCAAAACUUCCUGAAGAAAGAGUUCUCUCUCAAAAGCUAAGAAGCUCAAGAUGUUCUGUCACACAUGCAUAUGCAUACAUCCCUCUGACUAACAACAUGUUCUGUUUUCUUUUAUCUGAUCAGAAUGAUUGGUCUUCAAAACUCAACUGGGUCCUUGGGUGCUACAGAUCUCAUACUUUAGGACUGGUGCAGUAUGUAUUUGAAUUUGUAGUUAGGUCAAAUAAGUAUUUCUUCUAUGAUUGAAUUUUCACAGUUUGGGGGUUACCUCAGUGAGGAUUCUGCUGUGCAUUUCUGCUUUCUGCUGAUUUCUCAAAUGCACUGUAUCUUGUUAACAGUCUUCUGCUGCUAUCAUGCAAAUGUACUCUGUAAUUGAGUCUAUUUCAUGUUUUUGCUUAGGUUACAAGCAAGCUGCUGUGCACUGGAGCUCUAGCAAUUGCAGCUGAAGGUGAUUUUUUAGACUUUGGGCAACAUUUUUCCUAUUAUCUUAGAUGAAAUAUUCCAACACAUAGCCAGCACUUUGAAGACAUUUUAGAGCACCCAUUUUUCAACUGUAACUUUACAAAGAGCCAAGCACAAUUUACCACCACCAUUCAAGACUUCAAGUAAUCUUUACCUUCUGCCACUACUAAUUCAAUCAAGCAAAACUUGUUUCCCAAGUUCAAUGGAUAAGCCAUUUCUCCAGCUACAACUAAAGAGCAUUGACUCUGGAAAAUGGAAGAAAGGGAGAAAGGAACAUGAAGAAUACAGAAGGCUGGGGGGUAAUACCACAAAGACCUUAGCUUUCGAGAUUAGCUGUAUCUCAUCUUGUCUGCAAAGCAAAAAAUCUUCCCUGAGCAUCUGGACAGAUUAAAGAACAGCAGUGGCAGAUGUGUUGCCAUGAUAGAUGCAAGAUGGCUCAUUUUCUGUUGGCUGAAUCUCCUACAAUUGAUUAUUUGAUUUUCCACUAUUUUGCCUGAGAUUGCUAUCAAAUUAAGCCACCAUCUGUCAUUCUGUUUGCUCCGGCUGAAGUGUGGACAAUGUUGCAGAUCUUCUAGGCAUCAGACAUUUUCCCCGGACUCUGCUAGAACUUAUUUUCUGUAUAAAAUUAACUGUCUAGAACAUUCCACAGAAAAUUCACCUAAUGACUUGGGAAAAAGUUACCUGACCCUAUUGUCUCAAGUGUUUAUCUGCUAUAAGAUUAGUGUGCUUCUUCUUCUUCUGGCCUUCCUAUAAUCUGAGCUAGGCAACAUAUUAAUUGUACAUAUUCCUCCUUGUCUCUUUUUUGUACAUAUAACUUCUAUCUGGUCUGUAUUUAUGUAAUAGGAGCAUUUGACCAAAAAAAUAUCUCUACCUUAAUUGUAGCUUUUUGACCAUCUAAAACUUUUCUCAAAGACUGACAAUGCCAUGCUUGUUCUUUCUCUUUUGUCUGGUCCUUUUUUUCAAAUGAAUCUGCCCAAAACCAUCCUCAUAUGCAACAGAAGAACUGUCUCCUUUUAAUCACUGUCACUGUCACUAAUCCCUGAAUCUUGCCUUAUAUGAUUCAGAAAGAGCUAGAAUAGUUAAAACUCUUUGACCUUGAAGACUUACAAGUGGGAACAUAGAUAAUGAAACUUUAGGGUGAAAAAACCCAACUUUUUCUCAGUUACCUUUUAACACAAAAUAAAGUGUGUGAACAUUUACAGAAAGCUUAACACAACCACACCCCCCCCAAAAAAAAAAAAAAAAAAAAAAACCAAACCAAACAAAACCCAAACCAAAACCUAAACAAAACAAACCCAGAGAAAAUACCACUUAGCAGUCUGAAGGGUUAGGAACAGAGCAGACAGGAUCCAGCAACAUCAGGUAACAUUCAAGUUGAAGGUGCAAAUUUCAGAAUAGCAACCUAAAACAAUUCUUAUUGUCUACACAGGUACUCUUCUCACUGGCUUACAACAUUCAAUCUUCUUCUAUGUGUCAAGCAUAGAAAAAAAUAAGAGCUGAAAAAGGAGAAUCAAACCAAUUCAUAGGAGUCUUCAGUCUGGACUGUACAUGACUACAAGUAUUGGGGCAUGUCAGAGAAUAGUGAGGUUUCCAUCCAGUCUUGUGGAUUUUUUUUUAAUUUCACCAAGAACUUGAAGUGGCUUUAUUCUGACAUUUAAAUCUGUUGGGUUUUGAAAGGGUUAUUUGAUCUGGAUCAACACUGCCAUCUGCCUAACUUUGUAGCAUGAAGGAUUCUUUAAGACCAAUAAAGGUCUUGGCUGCAGCUCCCUUGGUUGUAUGGUUGAGGACAAGAAGGUCACAAUUUUUUCCUACAGCUUGAGAAGCAUAAGGUGUCAGUGGGGUUCCCCACAUGAAACUUCAGAGAACAUUUUUGUUGUUUAUGCAUAAGCAUACACAGAGAUCCUAGCAGAGUUAAAAAUCAUAUCAUAAUAUGCUAUAGUGAUAUUUUGUUCUCAGUAUUUUAUCCCCCUUAAGAGGGGAUAAACCACUGCAAUAAAAGGCAUGAGAAAUGUUGUGAGUUCCUAUAUUUGGACAAUGACUGCUAAAUAACCAUUAGAGAAAUUACUGCCUUCAGAUGAAGGGACUUCAAUAAUUGCUUUUAGAAUCCAUGCAUGGAAAUUUUGAUUUUAGUUCAUCUGAUGAUAUCUUCAUUGAACUCUGAGCUGCAUCUGAGUUUAUGAGGAAAGGCCAGAACCAUGACUAUUUUGUAAGAAAAUGGUGAUGUUGUAGAACUAUUUGUGAGGUGCGGUCUUGAGCAGCAGAGAAGUGAAAGCGACAAAAUAGAGCAUAAAUUAGUAUAAAACAGGAAGAGCCCAAAACUACAAUAUGAAGUUACAUGUCAAAUGUGCAAGUCUGUGCCAUAUAUUGUGUGUGAUAGGCUGUCCCCUUUCACACAGGGGAAGGGAGCAUGUACACCUGAUGCUGUAACUAGUCUUAACUUAACUUCAUCUUCUUGAGCUAUGCUGCUGUUCUGCCAGUGUCAAAGUUCCCAAAAGUUUCUGAGGAAAGUGGAGGAAAAACGAGAAGAGAAGGACAAGAAGAAGAAAGAGGAAAGGAGGGGGAGAGAUACAGAAAUUCUCUAAGAGGUUGAAGCUUAUCCUCAAAUGCUGGUGUGAAGAUAUCCUCAGGUGCUUGCUUAGGAACAGAUCACAAAGCAGCCUCUGCCCAGCCUGGGGUCCCUCCUGGACCUCAAAGCUGGAGUGAGUCACAUCCCUGUGCCUCAGGGCACCGAGCAGGAGGAGCUUUCCUACCUGGCAAGCCCUCAAUACUGGAGCAGAGACAGGCGCCCCAGCAGGACACGGUAGAGCUGUGGCCCAGAGGAGCUCUGACAGCACAGGGACCGUGCAGGGACCGCACAGGAACCACGCCACCCCCACCCAUGCAAACACCCCGGGCUGCAGAACAGCGCGGGCUGCCGCGGCCAGAGGGUGCACAGGGCCCCAGUACUGAGCUCAGAUGGUGGUCAAGCACCACCCAAGGAGCUCAGGUUUGGUUUCCACUCAUCAAAACUCCACGAGUCCAAAUUUGUCCAUCUGCGUGCAUCAGAAAGGAUGCGGCAAACCAGAGCAAACACCUGCAAACAUGUGCGGGGCUCCAGGUCUUGGCACAGGGAAUGCCAGAGCCUGGCACUGCUCAAAAGAGCAAAAAGUGCUGGAGCCUGCUGGCUGCAGAGACACUAGCUGUCUGAGGUGCAACCAGAUGGACAAUCUGCUAAGGCUGGUGGCAGAGCUAAGGGGAGACAGAGAAAGGCCAUGAAGUUUUAAAAGAGAGUCUUGAGAGCGAGACUGGCUGGAAGAGCCAUACUGUAUCAUCCCCUAGACAGGCACAUGCAUCAUCCACAUGUCAAGAAGCAGUGGAUCUCCUACCCUGUCACCACCAAGCUGAAGGAGUGGAACUCUGAGAAAUGUAUUGGUUCUAAACUUUUGGAAGACACGGUCACCAGGAACAAUCUGUUCAGUUCAUAGUAUUUCAUAACAAAUCAGCUUUUAAUGUGGAAUAUUAUUUGAUAAGCUAUUUUUUUUCCUUUGUACCUGUUAUGUGUAAUAUAAAUAAUUUGCACCUGCAAAAUUAUAUGCAUGUAAUGUUUCAUAUUAUUAAAAAAGCAUACAAGUCAGUACUAGGGGGUUUGCCUCACAUACGUUGAAACUGUCUCUGAUAAGACCUCUUUUACAAGUUAAUACACAUAAUCUGGAGAUGGGUCAUUUCUCAAGAUGAUCCAGGAACUUCAGAGAAGUGAUCAUCCCAACAACGACCCAAGACUGGAAUCACUGGAACCAGCAAAAGAUACAUCUCAAUACCAUGUUCCCAUAACUCCAUCAAGGAUGUACAUUGUUCAACUCAGCGCAGAGAAAGGAAACUUUAGGAAUAUGUGGGACUUUGAAGGAAAGAAAAGGCUGAUCACUGAAAUCAUGGCCUCAAGCAAAAUAAAAAUUUCUCGGGCAGAAUGGUUGGUGUGAAACAUAGGGGACCCUUUACUGUAGUGGUCAUACCUGUGUCUCACCCAGCGCCAGUCCCUGGGCUUGGCACUGUCCUUUCUUUUGUGGCUGGGUCAGAUAGAUUUCAAUUGCUAAAUAAAAUUUUUAUUUUUAAUUUCGCUGGAUUAGUUUUUUAUGUAUAACAGUACCCAGCAAAUUCAAGGUAAUUUAUCAAAUAAAGCUAGUAGUAAAUUUUCUACAUGUAAUUUAUCUGAUUUCCCAUUUCCAUUUAAAUGUUGCUUUGAUGUAAAAAAAAAAAUGAAGUUUCUUAGAGAAAGGGCACACAGUGUUUAUGUUUGUGUAGGUAGCUAUUGAACUAGCUUAGCAUAGUUAAGUGGGCUUAUUUAAUCUUGUGAAGACAUUGUAUAGAACCUUGUGUAAUCAAGAACUAUAACAUCUAGUAAGGGAACUAGAGAAGUGAAAGACCUAUAGCAGAUGAAAAUCCACAUCUAAUUAUAGCUUCACAACACAAGUCAACUUUUCAUUAGCAAAACAAAAAAUAAAAGAACAAGAAUAAAAUGCAUAACAACAUGAAAGAAUAGUUCUUUUGUGGUGUUGGUAUGGUAUUUUACCAUCAUUUUCAAUUCAUCCUGAACAUACCAUGUAGAUCAGGCUUUUGACUCAGUCUGGUAUAAUUUGACCAUUAUAGAAUGUUGUACACAAUAACACUGGCACGGUGGGGUGUGUCUUUGCCUUUGCUAAGUAGCAGUGAAACGUUCUUAACACUCCUAAGCAGCCAGAGCACCGCAGGAGAAAAUGGAGCUUGAGUGUAUAUCUAUUUUCGCCAGGAUGUCCCACAUCAGGGAUCUGCUCCUCCCAGCCGCAGCACGACAAGAGCAACAUUCGUAGCCGUGCAGCAGUGGGACUGUGCACAGCUGCUGAGCAGUGUUGGUUCACUGGCUGUGCUGGAAACCACUGCAGGUCAGAGCCCACAAUGAUACCAAAUUGCUUGGAACAAGCAGUUCUAAAAUUGAAUAAACUUUAACCUGCACCUGCACCUCUGAUUAAGCCAGUUCUGAGGAUGUAUGAAUGUAAAAGUAGCUGUAACCCUGAGCGUGGCCAGAGUCCAUGCAGCCCCCUAAGCAGUGAUGCAGGUGAUGAGCCAGCAGCGCUCCCCUCACCUGCCUUUGAGUUUUAACACUGCAGGGCUGACUUGGGCCAGAGAGCAGAAUGCUCUAACAUAUACAGCUUGCAGUGUUUCUAACAGAGUGUGUACUCUGAUGACCUUGUUCCAUCUGGGGAGUUGGAUGUAUGUGGCUUAACUCUGGGGUCUUUAGCACCAAAGCUGUCUCUAACUCCAGGAAAACCUGCUGCUUCCAGAAGGGUGGCUUUCUGGCCUUUUCUAACAUUACAGUACUGCUCCCAUUGCAAUGGGAUUAGCCUGAUUCUGAUUAGGUGCCUAUAGUAAUAUCAGCAGUCAAGAAAGCAGAACACUAUGUAGGGGAGAAGAGGAAAAGAAAGAAAACCUAUCAGAGGUCCGACUGUUAUAAUUUUACUAUUUUUAUCCAUAUAAAGCACUAUAGCUUUCCAGCAAGGUUAUUAAGUGAAAGGAAGAGUUUGGCACUCAGUUUUGUUGCUGGCACUGAGGGCUGGGCCAUGCUGUAGGGUAGUUCAAUGUUGCAUCAUGACUCUCUUUGUUAGUCACUGCCAGAGAGUUCAAGAAAUGAGGGGAAUCAUAUGCCACAUGCUGGGAGGAUGGCAAAUGCCUUCACUCAGCCUUUUCAUGUCCUCAGCUGGAGAUAAUCACAGUUAGGACAUCUACACCUGAAUCUUUUCAAUGAAAUGUAGCAUUAAAGCAUGAAAAUACUGUGCUUCAGACCCAACUUUUCUUUAUGACAAAAAUCCUCAGUGAAUCUGUUCAGACUUAAGUAGAAACAUCCAAUGAACAGUGUUUUAAAGUGUUACAGAAACCUAUGCAAAAUAUAUUUGCAUGCAUCUUCUGUCUUCUUUUUCAUCCACUAUCCUUUCCAACAGAGUGACAACAUUUCACCUGUAUUGUGAAAGCACAACAGCCCUAUGCUGCAAGCCAAAGUGUGCUAGGGCACUGAGGUAAUAAUUUUAGAGAAGCUCUUUUCUUCUGCUUUUGGGUCUAUUGCAGAACAGGUGUGUUAAGGCAGGGAUCAGUGCUUGCGUUUAGGAAGGUGGUGAAGAUUAUAGAGAGGGAUAAUGCAGAGAUGGAUGUCUUGAGAUAAGCUGUGCAGAGAACAAAGUAGCUCACCUCUUUUUAGUUUCUGAAAAAGAAAUACUAAAAGAAGUUUCUUAAUUAUAUGAGUAGGUGUUUGCAUACCCAUAAGUAAGUACAUAAAUAAAAGUCUUGAAACAUUCUUAAAAACCUUUCUCAGGGAAGAAAGACUUAAUGGGAAUUCACUGGAAAUUAAGAGGACAGAAAGUUACCCAGGUUGUUUAAAAUCCUAAAUCUCAUUUAUAACCCCUUUUAAAGUGGGCUGUUUGAAUAUGUGAGUUUUCCUCAUAAUAAAUAGAUGUAUUUUGUUGUGCUGUCUGAUUAUCUCAUGGGAAAGAUAGCAGAAUCUUAAAAGCAAUCAUAAUCUGGUUAUCAGUUGCAAACUCUAUUGAUUUCUUUUUUAAAUGAAAAUGUAACUGGGAAGGUACAAUAUUUGCUUUUAAAAGAUGACAAUUUUACUGUCUUGUGUGGGCUGAGAAUAAAAAAGGCAGCUGAUGGAAAGUCUGCAGAUCUGAUUGAAGAAUCAAACAGAAAAUUAUUCCUACAUGAGCUGAAGCAUAGACAAACAGCCCAGUUUGCUGUGCUUAUGAUGGCUGUUAGUUGAUCUGGGAUGAGAGAGGGAGCAGGGAUUAAUAAUGUUUUAUUGCUACCUAGGGAAAUUUUAAAUGGAGCCAUUGUGAUCCUUUACUGGUUAAAGCUUCAUCAGGGAAUGAGAAAUUACUCUCUUAGACAGUGAGUAAAGAAGCAAGAGCUUGGAGAUGGGUUUUGCGUAUCAGCUGGGAAUUGGUACCUCUGGGCCUAAUGUGUGUUUAUGGUGCAGGCACAGAAGACCAUUUCAUUAGGCACUUUUUCAAGUCAAAUAUACUGGAGAAAAAUGUUCAGGAAAGAAUUUGUACGUCAUUGAGAGAAAUUUGCAAAUCUGCAGCACAGUUCAAUUGAAGUUAAAUAAAAGAAAAAAACAAACCAAACCAAUCCCAAACCUCCCCUCCCCCUCUCCAAACUGCCAUAUACAUAUUUAACUGCUGCUACAAGAGCUGGAAAAUCAGCUCAGAAAUGUCAAGCACAGACAUUUCACUGAUGCUUUUUCAUGUCUACGACAAUGGGAAAAGAAAGAAAAGCAGAAAGUGCAGAUUUUGAGACAUAAAGAGUCCAAUGUUGAGCUGCCUUGAAGGGUUCAGAAGCACAGCCUGUGUACUGUUUCUCUCCUGAGUUGUACUGACUCACUCGGUGAGAGGGGGUGCUUGUCUGCCAUCACCACAUCUGACCUUUUUGGUCCAACAAAGAGAGGGGUCAUAUGACAGUGCUCUUUUCUUGACCUCUCCCCUCAUGACAAACUAUAGCUUUGUGGAUUUACAGGGAGAGGAGGUGUCUGGUGGACCUUAAGUCUGCUUCAGGAGUUUUAAGGAGAGGAGAGGGAUGGAUGUGCAGAACACCGAUCUGGAGUUGCUGGCUGGUUCUUGGGUCCCCUGAUGCUGCUGUCCAGACUUGUGGGCCACAAUUUCUUAACAGACCUCAUGUCUGUGUCUGGGUUGCUUUAAACUCAUCUUCCUCCCAGGCUUCUCAGAUUCAGUCAUGACUCUUUUGCACCAACUUGCUCCUAGAAUUGAAGCGAUAUUGCAGCAUUCUGAUGGAAAAGACUACCUCCAAGUCUAAGAGAACUGCAACAUGCAGACUUGCUGACAACCUGUUUAAUCUCUAAAUUUAAUUAGUUGUACAAUGUUGUAUUGUGUUAAUCUAUUUUUACCUGUGUUCUAAUGGUUUAUUCCUGUACACCCUAGUUUUCCCAAUAGUUCUGCCCUAAAACCACCCCUUUCCUUAUAUGUCAUUCCUCUUCUCCUCCUUCUAUGCCAAUCACCCUCUUCCUGCCUAUGCACCCCUGGAAAAUGCUGAUUCAUUCCCCUGUCCCCACCCUGGUACCUUGUGCAUCACUUGACUCCCCAUCCCACUCCUCCAGAACCCUCUACCCAGUGUGUCAAGUGACUGGGCAAGGACCAGGGGUCGCUCCCCUGGUUCCCACUUGUUGGCCUUUGCAUCCGUCUGGUCCCCCAACUUCCACUCCCCCAAAACCCCUCAUUGGUUGAAGGGUGAUCCCUUCCCAUUACGACCCGCAUUUAUAAACUGCUGCACAGCGCCCUUCAGGGCUCUCGCCUGUUGGCUCUCCUAAGGGUCAGGACUCUUAGGAGCUCUUAAUAAACCCAGAGACUUUGCCCCAGAAAAGAGUCAGCCAUUUCUUCUGCGAUUGCCCUCCGUCCCUCCCAUUGGAGCCAACCGUGUCAGUGCUCAACCCUGGCCGCUCCCCAAACUUCCUGGAGGCACAGGGGAGUGUCCCCUGCCAUCAGCCAUGUCAUCGCUGGUCGGGCAGACCAAAGUGGACAUUGGGUGGACAUGGCGACACUACAAGGACUAGUAUAAGGCAGUGUAGAAAUCAGUCUUUUAAUAUCCCAUAGUCAGACUAUGCAGCACUAAACAUAGACUGAAAAGCCUCACUAGGACACUGAAGAAAUUGGUAUUUAUGAACAAAUGAAAAGUUAAAAGAUUAAGAAAAAACUUAGCUCUAACAAUUGCAGGGUGCUUAUUUUAAGUAAAAUAAUGAACAAGUACAGAGAUAUGCCAUUUAAAAUGAGCUUCCUAGAAGCAAACAAGUGUACAUGAGACAUAAUACCUAAUGAAAAGGGUAGCCUGCUGAUGAAUAACAAAAAAAUUGACAGUUCUAAGUCAUCCUUUAAAUACUCCUGCAGGAGGGAUUAUCAAAGCAAAAAAAAAAACUCCCAACCAUCCAAACCAAAAAUAAGGUGUCUGGAAGCACUUUUUUCAUUCUUUUAAGUAUAAGAAACUGCAUCCAGGGAAAGCAUAAAACAGAGUUUUAUUUCCAUUUUGAUACUUUCACACUUCAUAUUAAAAGUAUAUAAAAUUUUGUACAACUACUUAUACAAUUAAUAAGCAGAUAAGUAUUAAAACAUUUGAAAUGGGUUUGUAUUUUCCACAGGUCUGGUUCUCCUUUCAAAGAGGUUUUAUACCAAAAAACCUCAUUCAUAUCCAUGUAUUUAUACAUUCAAGAGGGACAUUCAUAAUUUUCACUUUUCUUGAAGGACCUAAAGACACUUCGGGGACUAUAUGGGAGACCCAGGUAGGUUUUCCUUGUAUUUGAGAGGGAAUCAGCUUCUAAUUCUUUCACCUUGUGCCAUUUUACAAUGGGAAGCAGCCUGCCUCACCACAGAGAGUAGGAGACAGAUACAUGCUAUAAAAUGGAUUUGGAAAUUGGAAUUUCCAUCUCAAAUGACAGUAAAAGUUAUUGAAAGUUUUUGACAGCACCAGACAUGGAGGUUUUGGUGAUGCUAUUCAUAUGAUUAAAAUUUUUUGUAGCUCAUAAAAGAAAUUUGACUCAUAUUUAUUUUUUUUAGAGAUAGGGCCAGGUAACAUUUCUUUAAGCUCCUAGGGAUUGCUUUUUGAUGUAAAAUCUUGUGUUUGAUUGCAUUGGGUAGAAAAAAAGGGAUGGGAGAACAAGCCUGAUUUUGGUAGUGCAUAAUGUCUCAAAUAUAUAGUAUAUUUUCUUUUUAAAUAUUUAAACUUGCAGUGACACCUGAUCUACAGAAAUAGUGCCAAUGGGAGUGUGCAUGUGCAGACAACUAGCAAAUCCUUAAGGCUUUUUUUUUGUCCAAUAUUCAGCAUAAAUCCAGGCUUAUACAAUCUACAAACUUCAGGCCAAAAUGUUACUAGGAAAAAAAAAAAAAAUCAACAUUAUGCAUUACAGCCUUAUGCUCUUUUUAAAUUAAGGAACAGCUGCCAGAUGAUGAGAAUUUUGGUAGAGUAUCAUAAAAAUGUUUCAGCAAGAGCUCUUCUAGAGAAUGUUUACAGAAACAUGACAUUUAAAUUCAGUACAAAUAUAUGAAGUAAAGGGGGAUGGUUUAAAAAGUAGGAAGUAGGAAAUGCUCUAAAUGUUCUGCUAUAAGACUGCUGUUCCUUUUCCUAAAGGACGAGGCCCAAAGACAAGCAAAAAACAAAACAAAACAAAACAAAACAAAACAAAACAAAAAAAGAAAUUAGAGAGAGAGAAAAAGGAAAAGGAAAAAAGGAAACCAUUUAGGACAAACAUAUUAAAAAAAACCAAGCAAUUUUCACAAAUACAAGGAGGCGAGGUGGCUACUGCCCAAUGUUCUGAAAUUAGGCAGGUUGGCUUCAGAGGACAACUGCUUAGGUAAAAGCCCAGGAAUUGGAAACUUGAAAGUUUGAAGCAUGAUGAUAAAUUGAUUUCUGCCUGGGAAGGGCAGAAACUGCUGUUAACUGGUUAUCAGGCUGGGCUGAACCCUGAUGAGUACUGCCAGAAGUAAUACAAACCGGGCCCCAGCAACCCAGUUCUUAAGAGAUCUUCAUGCCAUUUUGAAUCUGGUCCCUAAAAAGCCUUUCCCUGAUGUGGUUCAUGUUUAUUUUACUAAGUUCUAUUAGGUAGAUUGUUAAAGUGGUAUGUUCUGUUAUUCCCCAUGUUCUCCCUAAGUUGUACCUUCCUAUCCAGCUGUCCCUCAAAGAAUCUCUUCCCUUCCUUUCAGACUCUUCCCUGCUGGUCAGGGCAACCCAGCUUCUUUGAUGUGUCUGUCAAACUAAACCCUACCCAUUGUUCUAGAAAUUUCCCCAUUCCUCACCUCCGGGACCAAUCCCAGAUCGAACCAUCUUUCCUCCCCUUACCCUGAUUUGUGGCAUCCCUGAAAACACACCCUAAGAGUUGUUCAUUUAUUGUCUCAUUGUGUCCACCACCUGUUUUGUGAUGUUUUAAAAAACCUUGCAAAGUUGCACUCAAGGCUCUACUAGCCUGUGUUCCCUUCGGCUCUCAUCUCCUGUGUACUCACCCAAUAAACCUGCUGAAUUUCGCAAUGCAA